GAUGAACGCUGGCGGCGUGCCUAAUACAUGCAAGUCGAGCGAACGGACGAGAAGCUUGCUUCUCUGAUGUUAGCGGCGGACGGGUGAGUCACAUGUGGAUACCCUCCCUAUAAGACUGGGAUAACCUCGGGACACCGGAGCUAAUACCGGAUAAUCUUUUGAACCGCAUGGUUCAAAAGUGAAAGUCGGUCUUGCUGUCACUUAUAGAUGGAUCCGCGCUGCAUUAGCUAGUUGGUAAGGUAACGGCUUACCAAGGCAACGAUGCCUAGCCGACCUGAGAGGGUGGUAGGCCACACGAGAACUGAGACACGGUCCAGACGCCUACGGGAGGCAGCAGUAGGGAAUCUUCCGCAGUGGGCGAAAGCCUGACGGAGCAACGCCGCGUGAGUGAUGAAGGUCUUCGGAUCGUAAAACUCGGUUAUUAGGGAAGAACAUAUGUGUAAGGAACUGUGCACAGCGUGACGGUACCUAAUCAGAAAGCCACGGCUAACUACGUG
Molecule: ribosomal RNA, 497 nt
Filed under: uncultured bacterium
Lineage: Bacteria
Description: partial 16S ribosomal RNA
Rfam family: Bacterial small subunit ribosomal RNA
Source: RNAcentral